This 72-nucleotide transfer RNA is filed under the name Polyangiaceae bacterium. RNAcentral describes it as "tRNA-Met". Lineage: Bacteria; Pseudomonadati; Myxococcota; Polyangiales; Polyangiaceae. The record is from RNAcentral.
CGCUGCGCUCCGUGGCGGAGGCCGGGUCUCAUAAGCCCGAGUCAGGCGGUUCGACUCCGUCCGCAGCGUCCA